This 162-nucleotide ribosomal RNA is filed under the name Escherichia coli. Its description in RNAcentral is "partial 16S ribosomal RNA". It matches the Rfam family "Bacterial small subunit ribosomal RNA", at positions 1 to 154 of the family's 1533-position model. Lineage: Bacteria; Pseudomonadati; Pseudomonadota; Gammaproteobacteria; Enterobacterales; Enterobacteriaceae. The record is from RNAcentral.
UUAAAUUGAAGAGUUUGAUCAUGGCUCAGAUUGAACGCUGGCGGCAGGCCUAACACAUGCAAGUCGAACGGUAACAGGAAGCAGCUUGCUGCUUUGCUGACGAGUGGCGGACGGGUGAGUAAUGUCUGGGAAACUGCCUGGUGGAGGGGGAUAACUACUGGA